AGUAAAGACCGGUCAAAAUAACGUGUUCACGCCCGGGGAAAUGGCGACAGUUAGAUUCCCGCUGUCAGAAGCGUAUUUACAACGGGAGGAAAAAUAAAAAUCGUUUUUCGACUGUUAUAAUAAUAUUACAAGAUAGUAUACUUUAUUGUUGUUAUUGUGUGACAUCUAGUGGGAAAAUCGAUCAGUCGGUGCUCGGCGGUUUGCGGCUUGAUGGGAUAUUCGUAUAAAAAAUUCGCGCACUCGUCUAAAAGAAGAGGAAAUAGAUCGUGGGACGCUAAAAAACGUUAUAGACAUUUAUCUGUGUUC
Cinara cedri is the source of this 306-nucleotide non-coding RNA. The record is from the annotation of a GenBank genome assembly. NCBI's taxonomy places the organism in Eukaryota, Metazoa, Arthropoda, Insecta, Hemiptera, Aphididae.